UAAAGUCAUUGUUGUCAAAUUCCAUGCCC
Molecule: non-coding RNA, 29 nt
Filed under: Mus musculus (house mouse)
Lineage: Eukaryota; Metazoa; Chordata; Mammalia; Rodentia; Muridae
Source: RNAcentral